AACGAACGCUGGCGGCAUGCCUAACACAUGCAAGUCGAACGAGACCUUCGGGUCUAGUGGCGCACGGGUGCGUAACGCGUGGGAACCUGCCUUUAGGUUCGGAAUAACAGUGAGAAAUUACUGCUAAUACCGGAUGAUGUCUUCGGACCAAAGAUUUAUCGCCUUUAGAUGGGCCCGCGUUGGAUUAGCUAGUUGGUGGGGUAAAGGCCUACCAAGGCGACGAUCCAUAGCUGGUCUGAGAGGAUGAUCAGCCACACUGGGACUGAGACACGGCCCAGACUCCUACGGGAGGCAGCAGUGGGGAAUAUUGGACAAUGGGCGAAAGCCUGAUCCAGCAAUGCCGCGUGAGUGAUGAAGGCCUUAGGGUUGUAAAGCUCUUUUACCCGAGAUGAUAAUGACAGUAUCGGGAGAAUAAGCUCCGGCUAACUCCGUG
RNAcentral lists this ribosomal RNA (433 nucleotides) under uncultured bacterium. Its description in RNAcentral is "bacterial SSU rRNA". It matches the Rfam family "Bacterial small subunit ribosomal RNA", at positions 29 to 507 of the family's 1533-position model. The record is from RNAcentral.